GCUGUCGCAAAAUCGGCGGCCGGAAUUGGCGUUCCGUGUAACUUAUUGGCGACACCAGACGCGCCAGGCGUCUUUUUU
Molecule: small RNA, 78 nt
Filed under: Enterobacter cloacae subsp. cloacae
Lineage: Bacteria; Pseudomonadati; Pseudomonadota; Gammaproteobacteria; Enterobacterales; Enterobacteriaceae
Description: isrK
Rfam family: isrK Hfq binding RNA
Source: RNAcentral